This 76-nucleotide transfer RNA is filed under the name Oscillospiraceae bacterium. Its description in RNAcentral is "tRNA-Thr". It matches the Rfam family "tRNA". From Rfam's summary of the family: Transfer RNA (tRNA) molecules are approximately 80 nucleotides in length. Their secondary structure includes four short double-helical elements and three loops (D, anti-codon, and T loops). Lineage: Bacteria; Bacillati; Bacillota; Clostridia; Eubacteriales; Oscillospiraceae. The record is from RNAcentral.
GCUGAUGUGGCACAGGCGGUAGCGCGCAUCCUUGGUAAGGAUGAGGUCAUGGGUUCAAUUCCCAUCAUCAGCUCCA